RNAcentral lists this ribosomal RNA (253 nucleotides) under uncultured bacterium. Its description in RNAcentral is "partial 16S ribosomal RNA". It matches the Rfam family "Bacterial small subunit ribosomal RNA", at positions 524 to 776 of the family's 1533-position model. The record is from RNAcentral.
UACGUAGGGUGCAAGCGUUGUCCGGAAUUAUUGGGCGUAAAGAGCUCGUAGGCGGUUUGUCGCGUCUGCUGUGAAAACUCGGGGCUUAACUCCGGGCCUGCAGUGGGUACGGGCAGACUAGAGUGCGGUAGGGGAGACUGGAAUUCCUGGUGUAGCGGUGAAAUGCGCAGAUAUCAGGAGGAACACCGGUGGCGAAGGCGGCAUUCUGGACCAAUAUUGACGCUGAGGAGCGAAAGCCAGGGGAGCAAACGGG